GAUCAUGGUUCAGGAUGAACGCUAGCUACAGGCUUAACACAUGCAAGUCGAGGGGCAGCAUGAACUUAGCUUGCUAAGUUUGAUGGCGACCGGCGCACGGGUGAGUAACACGUAUCCAACCUGCCGAUGACUCGGGGAUAGCCUUUCGAAAGAAAGAUUAAUACCCGAUGGCAUAGUUCUUCCGCAUGGUAGAACUAUUAAAGAACUUCGGUCAUCGAUGGGGAUGCGUUCCAUUAGG
RNAcentral lists this ribosomal RNA (238 nucleotides) under uncultured bacterium. Its description in RNAcentral is "partial 16S ribosomal RNA". It matches the Rfam family "Bacterial small subunit ribosomal RNA", at positions 15 to 245 of the family's 1533-position model. The record is from RNAcentral.